UUUCCGAUUAAUGAAAUUUCCCUUCUUUUGAUUUAAAAAAUAAAUAAAAAAUCAAUGGUGCAGUGAUAUUAAUUUAGAGUUUUUAAAGAUAGUAAAAAACCCUAAACCAAUUUAAUAAUAAUAAUAAAAUAUAUUUAUUUAACUUAAUUAUGAGUUUAAAAAUUUAUUCUAUUAAAAAAAAGAGGAAAAAAAAAAGGAGAGGCAACAUGUAAGUAAGCCUUUGUUCUGCCCUCCAUUCUUCCCCCCUUUCCUCUUUCUCUUCAAAAAAAUCUGAUUUUGGGAUGAGUUGUUCAUCUAUUGGAGGUGAGUCACCUAGUCUAGGCUAAAGAUAUUAAUUUCUUAAACUAAGAUAAGAUUGGGGAUGAAGAAAAUGGAAUUUGGGUGGGGAAAAGAAUGGAGAAUAGGCGGAAGAGAAGAAAAAAUCUAUAAGGUGAGUCAAUUUCGAAUUUGUGAUUUUUUUAACUUGGUGUUUGUAUGUUUCUAGUUCCUUAAAGAGUAUUUUGAGUCAUUUGAGAGAUGAGAAAAUUGAAUUGGAAGAGGUUGAAUUUCUAUUUUCGGGUUGGGUGGAUAGAGCAAUUUUUCAAGUGUGGGUGUUGUUGAUUUUGGUUUCAUUUUGGGUUUUUGAUGAGUUCUAUGAUAGGUAUGAAGUUUAGAAGAGUUUUUGACAGCCUUAGAAACAAUCUGGAGAUGUUAGAAUGGUUGGAAACAACUUUGAACCAAAUAUGGAAAUUUGCAGUCUGUGAGCCUCACUUUGGCUCUCUUUUUCUCCCAAUCUUUUGAGUGUUUAAGGAAGCCAUUUGUUAGGUUUUAAACUAGACUUGGCGAGGAACAAAACACAAUUAGUUUCGUCGAAUUUGGUUGAGCUUUGAUAUGUCAAACACAUGUGCAAAGUUAAGAAAAAAAUCUGUUUUCUGCAGAAAAAUCAGCAACGAGUCCAACUUUGGAGCUAGUUUUCUCCUUCAUUUUAGCUCCAUUUUGAGUGUAGUUUGUUGAGUUAGAAACUAGAGAUAUUAAGCUUCGAAAUCACUACAAGUUGCCCAUUUUCGUUAAGGUUUGCUUGGUCAAAAUGUCUCACAAAGUCUAGGAUUUAAUCUGGAAAAACAGGGGAAGUUGCAGGAUUUUUUGAAGACGAUGAACAGUAAUCGGAAACAAGCCCACUCGCGGUUCCGGCGAGUGGCGGCGCGUGGUAUAUAUUAUUGUUAUUAUCUGUAUUAUUAUUCAGCAAAGCUAAAUGAUAUUUGCGCUGCAUUACAUAUGCAUCAUAAAUACAGUGGUGUUAAGGGUGUGUGUGUCGUUUGACGUGUAUCUAAGGGAUGGGAGAAGGCCUUAGAUAUAUCUGAGUGAGUAAAAAUGUAGAAAAAAUUCAAGUGACAGAAGCAUGGCUUGAAUAUAAUGAGAUGAUGGGAGCAGGGACUCUAAUGAAAAGUGAAAGUUGAGAAAUUCGUAAGCAAAAGAAAACUAGGUUAAGGGACGGAUGAGCGCUAGUUCAUAUUUUAGGGUAUUCGGAGCCACAUUGGUAAAAUGCAUGGUAAGGGACAUACGGCUUUUGCCUAAGGUCUGAAUUAGUGGGAUUAGAAGGAAGUGAGUUCAUGGCAUCACUGCAUAUACAAAUUUAUUUAUCUUAUAUGGUUGCAUAAUUUCUGUAUUUUGUGUUGUUUGAUGCAUAACACUUUAAUUAACUGUAAUAGUAGACCUUGAGGGGUUUGAUGGUACUCUAUUGGGCAUUAGAAUGCUUAUACCCUAAUAGAUUGUGCAGGAUUCAAAGCGAAGUUUGAGGAAGCAGGUUUCAACUAUGCUACUAGGCUUUUGUUGUUGAUUUGUGUAAUUAACUUUUGUAAGCAGUCAACGGUUUGAUAAAGAUCUUAGUGUGUAAUUAACUACGAGUUACUACGACUCUGAUUCUGUGUUGUUAAGUAAAUUUUGUAUUUAUUUGUGACUCUUUUUCUCAUUAUAUCAUGGUUGUAUGAUUUUAUUCUUAUGACUAUAGUAUGACUCACACCCUGAUUCGGGAAUAUUCCUUAUUUUCGAAUCGAGUCGUGACCCCGCCUGAGGGUCGGUGGCUUCCUCAUCUUCCAUCUUUCUCUCCUCCUCUCCCUUUCUCCUUUCCUAGUUUUCUUUCUCUCUCCUCUUCUCUCCCCAGAUUUAUUUGGAUCUUGGGUCCUUUGCCUAAAUCUAUCUGGAUCUUGUCUUUCAUUUGUUUAUUUGAGUGUUUUCUGUUGUAGGUCCUUGGUGACUUUUUUUGUUCUUGGAUGUUUCUUGUUGUCGUUGGGAUGGUUGCUGUGUGAUGCUGUCGACCAAGUUUUUUGCUUUGUUUUUCAUUGUGUUUUUUAAGCAAGUAUUGUAAUCCAACCUUGAUGCCAUGAUUUUGUUGCAGCUUUUGGUCCACUCACAUGAAUUUUUCUCAAGUUCAGUGUUUGGAGUUGGAAAAGUGAUUGUUGCUGGCUUGUGUGGGAUCGGAUUUUACCUGUGCAAAAUAAGAGGUUAAGCCAUGUUGGUGCUACAAGUCUUUUGGUUUGCUGGAAAAGAUGUGGUGCGACGUCCUUGUUUAUGUGUUUAUUUUAGUGUAAUAAUUCUCAGAAACUCAGUAGGAGUUUGCUGAUGUUUGUAUUUAUUGCUCGAUUUUUCGAUGCGAAUUUUUCGUUACUGUCGUUGUGCGGUGGAUC
This 2663-nucleotide long non-coding RNA is filed under the name Prunus persica (peach). RNAcentral describes it as "long non-coding RNA (PPER_LNC002600)". The record is from RNAcentral. Lineage: Eukaryota; Viridiplantae; Streptophyta; Magnoliopsida; Rosales; Rosaceae.